This 380-nucleotide ribosomal RNA is filed under the name uncultured organism. Its description in RNAcentral is "bacterial SSU rRNA". It matches the Rfam family "Bacterial small subunit ribosomal RNA", at positions 1 to 373 of the family's 1533-position model. The record is from RNAcentral.
UGGAUCCAGACUUGAUUAUGGCUCAGGAUGAACGCUAGCUACAGGCUUAACACAUGCAAGUCGAGGGGCAGCAUGACGAUAGCUUGCUAUUGUCGAUGGCGACCGGCGCACGGGUGAGUAACGCGUAUCCAACCUUCCCGUUGCUAGGGGAUAACCUUGCGAAAGUAAGACUAAUACCCUAUGAUGUUCUUCGCAGACAUCUAAAGAGAACCAAAGAUUUAUCGGCAACGGAUGGGGAUGCGUCUGAUUAGGUUGUUGGCGGGGUAACGGCCCACCAAGCCUACGAUCAGUAGGGGUUCUGAGAGGAAGGUCCCCCACAUUGGAACUGAGACACGGUCCAAACUCCUACGGGAGGCAGCAGUGAGGAAUAUUGGCCAAUG